GUAUCUGUCAGUGCUGGCUGAGUCUGCCUGUGUGUGCCAGUGUUAAAGGGUGGCCUUCCCUUGCUGUUUCAGGGUGCUUACAGUAGGGUAGGAAAGAAGAACCUGCUUUGGAGCAGCAUGGAAAUAAGUAGCAAAAGCUUUAUGAAAGAACAAGGAACUGGGAACAGCAAAAUUACUCAAGGAGGUCUAGUCCUGAGAGGAGGUCAAACACUGCUGCUACAAGGAACUAGAAGUGUUUUGCACCAGUUUUGUCAAACAGGGUUCCAGGCAGAGAGAACUGGCAGAUCAUCAGUAAAGACAGUACCUGUGGAGAGAGGAGAUAUUAGUGUUAAGGUAGUGUUGAAAUACAGAUCUGGAGGAAGACGACUCAAGCAUACUCAAGAAAAUAAAAGUUGACAAGAACUGAUGCAUACAGUUGACAUCAAGAGAGCAGAGAUCCUUUGGAGCAAAAGGAAGUGAACUGGCUGAUUAUUGCCUACCAAAGAGGAGAAAUAGGAUUUACUCAUAAGUAAAUCUGAGCACAGUGGGAAAGAGCUAGAUAAACCAAUGGGUGAUUGAUGUUUGUAAUUACUUUGCAAGUAACUUCAGGCUAGAUUUUUGAAGAUGGCUUCUAACCAAGGGGGAAAAAACUCCAUAUUUCUGUGUAUUAGACUUUAGUCUAUGUUGUGGCAGAGAUAAAUAAAUAUUUAAAAAAAAAAAAAAAGGUGUGGUAACAAUAUGAAAAUACUGUUGCUAGGAGGCUAUUGGGGACAAAAUAAAAUGCACUUUUCAAUCCUGAACUAUAGCAAAGAUUUUCAACACACCAAAGUCUGUCUCUCAUACUUUUUUCUUUUUGUUUUUUGAUACAAACACUUUUAUAUCUCCUACAUAAUUAAAAGCAAGAACAGAUUUAAUGAAGCCACACUAAUGUGUUUGCUGAUUCUUUGAAGUUUGGAGUUAAAAAGAGUAGAUUUCUGGGGAGAGAAAAAUAAUUUAUUUGAUGCUAAUGAUUAUUUAAAGAAUUAAUUAGUAGUUACUAGUUAUACUUAGCUUUGUCCCCAAGAACUGAUAACUCAUCUUAAAAUCAAUGGUUGCCUAGUGAUAAGCAAUUACAUAAUUUUAUUACUUGCAGACAAAUAUUGUCUUGGCCUGUAAUGAUGGGCAGAAGCUUAAAGUUGUGAUUUUAUCAGAGUUUUGGAGGUUUCAGCAAGACAUAUGCAUUGCUUUUGACAUUCCUGUCAUCCUCUCACGAAUUUUUUUGUUAUGCAUGGAACAAUUUCCAUUAUGUAAUUUAUGUUUUUAUUUAAGGGUGGAAUAAGGAUGCAAGCAUGGAUUUUCAUUUUGUUUUGGCUUUCUUUUCUUAAUUCUCUCAUAUUUUAAAAAUAUUUUUGUAAGAAAAAAUAUAAUUCUGUGCAAGUCUUCUUUGCUGAGAGCUUUGGCUGGCUGAGAACCAGCAAUUUUGGCAGAAUCAGUGUUUGCCACUUAAUUCUUCCAGUUCAUCUGAGAAAGAGGAUAAGUCCCUGGUAGAUGUGAAUUUGCUGAAUGUGAGCUGCCUCUAAAUACUGAAAGAAAAUAUUGCAAAGGCCAGUCACAAGAACUAUAACGAAAUGAGUUCUUAUUGAAACCAAUGAGUUCUUAUUGACUGAGCAUCUUCUGUGCUUUCACAGAUUUGACUUAUUGCAAGCUAGAUUCUUUACAAGCAGCACUAGUUUUUCUGAAAAUUGAAAGUGAAAAUAAACCACAUAAUCAAUGUAAGAAAAAAAGUGCAACCAACAUAGCAGCCUCAAUUUAUGAGAAGCAGCAAUUUUCAAUACAUGUUUGUUGUCUCUGCCAGCUUUCACUACUACAGAAGUUUCAAAGCCAAAUUAUUACAUUCUCUUAAGGAACACUACUUAGCAUUGUUAUUAUUAUUUAGUUUAUUGCUGGCACGAGUGCUUACACAGUAAGAAGGAUUAGGCUAACCAAACAGUUAAACCUGGGAUAAUCAAGUAGCCUGCUGUGGAUUGGAAUUGGAUUAUAUAGACAUUUGCAGGACUAGAAUACAUGUGGGAGGUGUUGGAGGUGUCCACUCUCUCUCCAGGAGCAUUCAUUUUACUUAUUUUGGCUGAACUUUCCUAGGAAGCAGCUGAUGUAUUUGCUCUCUUUGCUUUCAUGGAGGGAAAAACAACAUUUUACUGUGCUGGAAACAUUUCACCAGCUCAGUAGAGGCCUGCAGAAGCUGGGGAAAAUGCAAGUAACCUUCUUCUAGGGCAUGCUCCUGUGUAAAAUCAUACACCUCUCUUACUGACAGUCAAAUAGAUUUUUCUUUUUUAACUUAUAAGUUGCAAUACCUAUCACCACUUAUAGACAAAAAUUAAACACAUCAUAUAAAACUUGCUUUAGUUUAUUAAUGAAGAGUAAGACAUUAAUGAGUGGCAUUUUAAGUGCUGCAGAACAACCCUGUAUUAUGUCUGUAAUGCCAUCACUUUCCUUUUUGUAUCUAUAAGGCUGCACAACUUGCUUUUUUAGAAACAGUUUUUGUAUAAAAAAUUGACUUCUCCUGUUGUGUGCUGUACUUUGAGUGCAGUGAGGAACAUGGCACAUGGUAGAAUUCUGGCCUUAAAAAAUGUUGCUUGUUUUGAUAUGCCAUAUCAAUUAAUACCUCAUAUAAAAAUCACAUUGAAAACUUCAUGUCAUAGUGAAACAGCAAUUUUCUCACCAGUCAAGCACAAUGGGGGAUCCUCUUGUAAGGAUUUAAGUCUAAAUAAUGCCUUUUUCUCCCUCUGGUUCUUGUUUCACUUUGCAUUUUUUUCUGCUUAAUGAAGAAAAUAAAGGACUUCAGAUCAUGAAGGACAUCAAAUAAACAUGAGCA
Long non-coding RNA from Taeniopygia guttata (zebra finch), 2830 nucleotides. Lineage: Eukaryota; Metazoa; Chordata; Aves; Passeriformes; Estrildidae. The record is from Ensembl.